Molecule: ribosomal RNA, 492 nt
Filed under: uncultured bacterium
Lineage: Bacteria
Description: partial 16S ribosomal RNA
Rfam family: Bacterial small subunit ribosomal RNA
Source: RNAcentral
AGUGAACGCUGGCGGUAGGCCUAACACAUGCAAGUCGAACGGCAGCACAGUAAGAGCUUGCUCUUACGGGUGGCGAGUGGCGGACGGGUGAGGAAUACAUCGGAAUCUACUUUUUCGUGGGGGAUAACGUAGGGAAACUUACGCUAAUACCGCAUACGACCUACGGGUGAAAGCAGGGGAUCUUCGGACCUUGCGCGAUUGAAUGAGCCGAUGUCGGAUUAGCUAGUUGGCGGGGUAAAGGCCCACCAAGGCGACGAUCCGUAGCUGGUCUGAGAGGAUGAUCGGCCACCCUGGAACUGAGACAGGGUCCAGACUACUACGGGAGGCAGCAGUGGGGAACAUUGGACAAUGGGCGCAAGCAUGAUACAGUCAUCGCGAGUGGGAGACGAAGGCGUCGGGGUUGUAAAGCCCUUUUGUUGGGAAAGAAAAGCAGCCGGUUAAUACCACGCUGUUCUGACGGUAACCAAUGAAUAAGCACCGGCUAACUUCGUG